GACGAACGCUGGCGGCGUGCUUAACACAUGCAAGUCGAACGAAGUGGCGAACGGGUGCGUAACGCGUACUCAACCUGCCCUUCAGAGGGGGACAACAGUUGGAAACGACUGCUAAUACCGCAUACUGAAGGAGGGGAUUGCGUCUGCUGUGCUAUUUGGCUGGGUAACGGCACACCAAGGCGAGGAUCAGUAGCCGGUCUGGGAGGAUGAACGGCCAAAGUGGGACUGAGACAAGGCCCAGACUCCUACGGGAGGCAGCAGUGGGGAAUCUUCCGCAAUGGACGAAAGUCUGACGGAGCAACGCCGCGGGAGUGAUGACGGCCUUCGGGUUGUAAAGCUCUGUUAAUCGGGACGCGGUACCGGAAUAGAAAGCCACGGCUAACUACGUGCCAGCAGCCGCGGUAAUAC
RNAcentral lists this ribosomal RNA (408 nucleotides) under uncultured bacterium. RNAcentral describes it as "partial 16S ribosomal RNA". It matches the Rfam family "Bacterial small subunit ribosomal RNA", at positions 28 to 526 of the family's 1533-position model. The record is from RNAcentral.